UGGCGGUGUGGCGAGCAGAAGUGUUUUUUUUUGCGUCCUUCUCCAUCACAGCUCCUGUAGCUAAGCUGCUACGCUACUUUUAGCCGCUCAGAGCUCCAAGGAGGGCCGGGAGAGUGGGAGGGGACGAGUCUGAACUACGGGAGAGAGGUGUGUCGAAUACAGCGAGGUGAUUGGAUGGAGAGGCGGAGCUGGAGAUUGACCAAUAGGAGCUGUCCGGGACGGAUGGCUCCCAUUGUUCAAU
Molecule: long non-coding RNA, 241 nt
Filed under: Xyrichtys novacula (pearly razorfish)
Lineage: Eukaryota; Metazoa; Chordata; Actinopteri; Labriformes; Labridae
Source: RNAcentral